This 81-nucleotide small RNA is filed under the name Pedobacter alluvionis. Its description in RNAcentral is "Flavo-1 RNA". The record is from RNAcentral. Lineage: Bacteria; Pseudomonadati; Bacteroidota; Sphingobacteriia; Sphingobacteriales; Sphingobacteriaceae.
UUGCAUGAGGGAUGGAAGCGGUAUCCUCGUCCCGAUAACUAUCGGAAUUUCUCGGGGAUUUAGCAUACAGCCCGACCCUUU